Microplitis demolitor is the source of this 798-nucleotide long non-coding RNA. RefSeq lists it as uncharacterized. Lineage: Eukaryota; Metazoa; Arthropoda; Insecta; Hymenoptera; Braconidae. The record is from RefSeq and is a predicted model, not a curated record. The transcript has 3 exons.
GGCUUAAAAAUGGAAGAGAUUUUUUUUGGUAGUGUAUAUUAUUGGUAGUGAUUUAUUCUGGUAUAGAUGUAAUAUGGUUGAGUUAUUAAUGGUAGGCAUAUUAAUGGUAGAGAUGCUAAUGGUAGGCAUUUUUAUGGGUGACCUGUAUUGUGGUAGACAUUUUUAUGGUAGAGAUUGUUACGAUCGAGUUCGUUACUGGGAGGGUUGUAAUCUGGUAGAGUUGUAAUGUGAGAGAGUUCUUAAGUGGUAGAAUUGUUGAUUGGUUGAAAUUCUUGCGGGUAGUGUUUAAAACAGGUAUAGUUGUUGUGUGGUACAGUUACUUGUGGUAGGCCGGCAGUGUAACAGGCAGUGUGACAACUGUACUCCGAAUUUCUCUGUUCUAUGCCAGCUUUACUCAAAAUGGAUAUUUAGACAUUUUUACUUCAUUUGCAUGAGGAAAUGAAGAAGAGCCAUUUAAAUCAACGCAGAGGUGCCUGAGGUGGAUCCUCCAAGUGUAAAUUUUGUAUAUCACCCACAUCUUGGAGCAAGUGUUCUCCUAAGAACAAAAAUUAUCUUAAAGAAGAUUGAAGAUGAUGAAUACGGAUGUCCUGAUUGCGCUGGAUUGUACGGCGAUUGCGAUGCAGGUUAAUCCCAGCAUUUAAACGUGCCAACUGAACUUCCAUAUCAGUAAUUAUAUUUUGUAGUUGUGCUGGUGAAAAUUUUAAAGUAUAUCAACUUUUUAUAGAUACUAUAACUUUAAAGUAAACAUUAUUGCAGAUGUAUGUACACCGUGAACAAAAAAAAUUGUGUCUUUUGUGU